RNAcentral lists this ribosomal RNA (774 nucleotides) under uncultured Neocallimastigales. Its description in RNAcentral is "partial large subunit ribosomal RNA". It matches the Rfam family "Eukaryotic large subunit ribosomal RNA", at positions 26 to 611 of the family's 3401-position model. Lineage: Eukaryota; Fungi; Neocallimastigomycota; Neocallimastigomycetes; Neocallimastigales. The record is from RNAcentral.
CGCAUCUGUGCAUGCAGCAUAUCAAUAAGCGGAGGAAAAGAAACUAACAAGGAUUCCCCUAGUAACGGCGAGUGAAGCGGGAAGAGCUCAAAUUUGAAAUCUUAAAGGGUUUCCCUUUACGAAUCGUAGUUUAAAGAAGUGUUUUCUGUUGAGGUUUUGGUAGAAGUUCUUUGGAAUAGGACAUCAUAGAGGGUGAGAAUCCCGUAUUUGACCUUUACUUUCAACUUUGUGAUACACUUUCAAAGAGUCGGAUUGUUUGGGAAUGCAGUCCAAAAUGGGUGGUAAAUUUCAUCUAAAGCUAAAUAUUGGCGAGAGACCGAUAGCGAACAAGUACCGUGAGGGAAAGAUGAAAAGAACUUUGAAAAGAGAGUUAAACAGUACGUGAAAUUGUCAAAAGGGAAGCGUUUGACACCAGUGUUGUUUUUCUGAAAAUCAAUUAAAGAACUGUUUAUGCUAAGUUGUUUAGACUUUAUCAGCUAACUGUUUAGUUUUGAGCUUUUCUUUAAUGCACUUUUCAGUUAACAAGUCAACAUCAAUUUCUUUUGCUGUAAAAAAGCUUGAGGAAGGUGGUUUGAGAUUCGUCUUAAGUGUUUAUAGCCUCUUGCCUAUGCAGUCGGAGAGAUUGAGGUCUGCAGCGUAGAUCCUUCGGGGCUAAAUGCAUUUGUGCUAAGUUAUAGCAUUUUAUAGACAACUUGUUGACUAUGAUUUGUCUUGUAGCUUACUCGCUUAUGUUAUUUUACCUACGCUUAGGAUGUUGAACGCGCACAGAGUCUC